This 471-nucleotide ribosomal RNA is filed under the name Triticum aestivum (bread wheat). RNAcentral describes it as "partial small subunit ribosomal RNA". Lineage: Eukaryota; Viridiplantae; Streptophyta; Magnoliopsida; Poales; Poaceae. The record is from RNAcentral.
AUGACCGAGACACAUCUCCGACCAAUAACCAACAUCGAAACCUGGAUGAUCAUAUUGGUUCCUACAUAUUCUACAAAGAUCUUUAUCAGUCAAACCGCGAUGACAACAUACGUCAUUCCCUUUGUCAUCAGAAAAUCUUCCCCUAUAGAGCAAGGAAACUCAUCAAUGCCAUGGCCCUCUGUUCUUCAUCCAGUGAUUUUCCAUACUAGUGAAAAUCUUGCCUCGGAUCAAAAUUCAGUAAUCUCUUAUAUUUUUCCGAGGUUCUACAAAGAUUCACAUACCCAUUUCUACACAUAUUGGACUAGUGGUGGAUCACUCGCGAAGGGUUGCAGUGACAUGAUUUGUCCUGGCUUUCGAAAGACAUCAUCGAGUAUAGCUCCGGGAAGUAUCAUUAAUCCAGUUUCAGAUAUCCGCGGCCAAAAAUCAUACAUUACAAUAAGAGUUUUCAAGGAUAAAUCUUCUGGUGACUAG